Molecule: ribosomal RNA, 253 nt
Filed under: uncultured bacterium
Lineage: Bacteria
Description: partial 16S ribosomal RNA
Rfam family: Bacterial small subunit ribosomal RNA
Source: RNAcentral
UACGUAGGGGCCGAGCGUUGUCCGGAUUCAUUGGGCGUAAAGAGCGUGUAGGCGGCCGCUUAAGUCCUGCGUGAAAUCUCGGAGCUCAACUCCGAGCGGUCGUGGGAAACUGGGCGGCUAGAGUGCGGGAGAGGAGAGUGGAAUUCCUGGUGUAGCGGUGGAAUGCGCAGAUAUCUGCAGGAACACCCGUGGCGAAAGCGGCGCGCUGGACCACUACUGACGCUGAGGAACGAAAGCUAGGGGAGCAAACAGG